UUACUCCUACGGGAGGCAGCAGUAGGGAAUUUUCCACAAUGGGCGAAAGCCUGAUGGAGCAACACAGCGUGUAGGAUGAAGGCCUUCGGGUUGUAAACUACUGUUAUAUGGGAAGAAAAACUAGUAUAGGAAAUGAUAUUAGCUUGACGGUACCAUGUCAGAAAGCAACGGCUAACUAUGUGCCAGCAGCCGCGGUAAUACAUAGGUUGCAAGCGUUAUCCGGAAUUAUUGGGCGUAAAGCGUCUGUAGGUUGUUUGUUAAGUCUGGUGUUAAAACUUGGAGCUCAACUCCAAAUUGCAUUGGAUACUGGCAGACUAGAAUUGUUUAGAGGUUAGCGGAAUUCCUUGUGAAGCGGUGGAAUGCGUAGAUAUAAGGAAGAACACCAACAUGGCGAAGGCAGCUAACUGGGAACAUAUUGACACUGAGAGACGAAAGCGUGGGGAGCAAACAGGAUUAGAUACCCUGGUAGUCCACGCUGUAAACGAUGAUGACUAGUUGAUGGAAACCAUCGACGCAGCUAACGCAUUAAGUCAUCCGCCUGAGUAGUAUGCUCGCAAGAGUGAAACUUAAAGGAAUUGACGGGGAUCCGCACAAGCGGUGGAGCAUGUGGUUUAAUUUGAAGAUACGCGUAGAACCUUACCCACUCUUGACUCUUCUGCAAAGCUAAGACAAUUCCCCGGG
This 681-nucleotide ribosomal RNA is filed under the name Mycoplasma sp. RNAcentral's name for it is "bacterial SSU rRNA". It matches the Rfam family "Bacterial small subunit ribosomal RNA", at positions 333 to 1014 of the family's 1533-position model. The record is from RNAcentral. Lineage: Bacteria; Bacillati; Mycoplasmatota; Mollicutes; Mycoplasmatales; Mycoplasmataceae.